RNAcentral lists this ribosomal RNA (248 nucleotides) under uncultured bacterium. Its description in RNAcentral is "partial 16S ribosomal RNA". It matches the Rfam family "Bacterial small subunit ribosomal RNA", at positions 524 to 772 of the family's 1533-position model. The record is from RNAcentral.
UACGUAGGGGGCAAGCGUUGUCCGGAUUAUUGGGCGUAAAGAGCGUGUAGGCGGCCAGAUAGGUCCGUUGUGAAAACUCGAGGCUCAACCUCGAGACGCCGAUGGAAACCAUUUGGCUAGAGUCCGGAAGAGGAGAGUGGAAUUCCCGGUGUAGCGGUGAAAUGCGCAGAUAUCAGGAGGAACACCAAUGGCGAAGGCAGCUCGCUGGGACGUGACUGACGCUGAGACGCGAAAGCGUGGGGAGCAAA